GAAACAAAAAGUUUUGAGUUUAACUGAAAUAAAGCAGGACGUCACCACUUUAACAUAUGCUUUGAAAACCGGCUUUUAUGGUUGCGUUUUUAACUUUCAGUUUUUGUGUUAGCAAUGCUUUUAGUGGUCCAUUUUGAUUCAUUGUAAUAACUUAUGAGAGUUAGAAGUGUAAGAGAACCUCCAUUCAUACUCGCUAUUUUUAGUUAAAUUUUAGCUAAAAAGGAUAAGAGCUUCCUGAAAAAUUUAUGCUCCAACCAUACUUUCUAAUUUAGCAAGUCAAAACAAAUAUAAACCAAUAGAAAUAAGGUUUUUUAUUUAGAGCAUCUCCAAUGAGCUUCUUAAAUGAGCUCCUAACUAUAAUUUAGUGAGGAUUUAAAAUAAAAUAAAAAAAUCAGCUCCAAUCAUUCUCCUUAUCCACCUCCUAAGAUAGGAUUCAUCGAGAAGUUGCUAAAUAUAGGGUGCAAGAAAGGAGCUCCUAGUGACUCUCUAUAGUUAAUGUUUAUGAGAAACAUGACACGAAUGCUAAGUUUAAUUAUGACCUCUAAAAUAGAGAGUAUGGUUGGACUGUUGGAGUAAAAAAUUUUUUAGAGAGCUUCUAAAAUAACUUUUUGAUAGUUUUAACUAAAAUUUGCUAUAAAAUAAAGAGCAUGAUUGGAUGCUAGUUAUCAAAACAAUCAUAACUAAUGCUAGGAGCCCUUGAGAGCUCAUUCCUCACUCCCAAAAUUUAGGAGCACCUAGCAGUUUUGGUAUCGUAGGAAAAUAAUAGGGAGUGUGAUUGGAGAUGAAAUUUCCAAAUCUACCCUAUACUUUAGUUAGGAGCUCAUUUAGGGAGCACUGGAUAUGCUUUAAUUACAAUACAUUGUGACUUUAAUUGUACCGGGAUAUUAACGGUAGAUGAAAGUCAUCAAGGUACAUAAUUUGUUUUUUUUUUUUCACUUGUUUAUUUUAUGUUGCAUUUGGUACAAUGUGCUAUUAUAGAUUUUCUAAAAAUAUUAGACCAUGUGACAUAAGCUUUGUUAUUUUUGAGCAAUUCCUACUAGUUUUAUGAGGUGGUAUAAUGUAAGUGGUAGGUUUUAUCUUAUUUUCAAGUUUAUUAUUUCUAAUAAACCAACAUCAAUAAAAAUGAUAAAAAGCAUUUACUAAUCAAUUCAAAAUAGACUUGAAGUUGCUGUCAAAUUUGACAGUGACCAUCUUUCAUGUCAAUUCAUGUCAUGCCACAUAAGAAUUGGUAUUUCAGUUGAAAAACAAUAA
RNAcentral lists this long non-coding RNA (1251 nucleotides) under Malus domestica (apple). Its description in RNAcentral is "long non-coding RNA (MDOM_LNC020646)". The record is from RNAcentral. Lineage: Eukaryota; Viridiplantae; Streptophyta; Magnoliopsida; Rosales; Rosaceae.